AUGGCUCGCUCGCCGGGGACGGGGGCGAUGUGCCCCGAUUGCCUGGAGCGGCGCAUCCGAUCCGACCUCGCUGGUUCCGGACUCUCCUUCGUCCACGGCGUCUCCGACUCCCCGCUCCCCUUUGCCUCCUCCGCUGUCGUCCAGAUGGCAUCUGAUGGACCCGACCAAUGUAUUGGGAGCCAGAAGACCUGUGGUUAUUUUGUGUUGGUGGUACUAAAUGGUGGUAAGACAUAUGUGGAUACAAAAAAAUGUGAAAACAACCCAUUGGAGCAAUCACUCAUAUUUAAAGAUGAUAAUCAUUGUGCUGUGCAAGCAGAUUCCUCUCCUGGUAUUGAACAUAUUGGAGAUCUUCAAAGUUCUUCUAGCUCGAAUAAUCAGCAACUAAUUGUAAACAUAAUCACCAAGUUAACUCCUGUUUACUAUCUGGGCAGAGUCUCCACUACAGAAAUUAGAGAUCUUAUGGCAAGUUAUAUGAAUUUAUCCAUUGAACAGGAUGUGAUUGAUUCACUAAAUCUGUUGUGUGAAAACACCAUCAGUGGACCAGCUGGUUUAGGUUUUCUCAGUUUUGUUGGAUUUUCAGCAUUUGAUGAUAUACAUCCUUCUGGGCUUGUGAGACACCCCAACAUCUUACCUGUGUUAGGUGUUGUAGAAUCAUCUGAUUGUUGCUACAUGUUUCAACCAAAGGCUCCAUACACUUUGGAGAACAUCAUGCACUACAGCCAAGAGGCAUUGUGCUCAGAUUGGCACAUCAGAUUUUUCAUCUACCAAAUAAUGUCUGCAUUGUCAUAUCUUCAUGAUUUUGGAGUUCAUCACGGCAAUCUGAAACCAUCAACCAUCUUGAUGUCAGAUUCUCUAUGGCCUUAUCUCAGCAUAAGUGAUAUAUCUCAUGUUAAACAGAACUGGGGUUUUGGGGGACCUGAAGGUUCAACACCUAAUUCAUGCUGUGCUGAGGAGGAUUGUUCUUCAAGAUCAAUUUUUGCUAGUUUCAAUCUUCCAUCAUCCUUAGAUUGGUCUUCUCACUUCAAACGAUGGUGGACGGGUGAGUUGAGCAAUUAUGAGUACCUUCUUGUCUUGAACAAGUUAGCUGGUAGGAGAUGGGGUGAUCCAGCUUUUCAUCCGGUGAUGCCUUGGGUAAUAGAUUUCACAGUGAGGCCUGACGAAAAUUCUGACAUUGGCUGGAGAGACCUCACCAAAAGUAAAUGGCGGUUGGCAAAGGGCGAUGAACAAUUGGAUUUUACUUACUCAUCAUCUGAUGUUCCAUAUCAUGUUUCUGAUGAGUGUCUCUCAGAGCUAGCAGUUUGCAGUUACAAAGCAAGAAGGCUAUCAAAGUCCAUCUUGAGGUCAGCUGUCCGCUCUGUCUACGAGCCCAACGAAUACCCAUCUAGUAUGCAAAGGCUUUAUCAAUGGACUCCAGAUGAAUGCAUCCCAGAGUUCUAUAGCGAUCCUUGGAUUUUUGUCUCUCUUCAUUCUGAAAUGAGUAAUUUGGCUUUGCCUUCCUGGGUGACCUCUUCGGAGGAAUUCAUUUGUCUUCACAGGGAUGCCUUGGAGAGUGACCGAGUCUCACAACAACUGCAUCAUUGGAUUGAUAUAACCUUUGGCUAUAAACUUGCUGGAGAGGCAUCUGUUGAAGCUAAGAAUGUCAUGUUGCCUCCCAGUGAUCCAUCAAGGCCUAAAUCAAUUGGGCGACGGCAACUUUUUACAAAGCCACAUCCUAAGCGUCUUAUUAGCACACCUCACUCAGCCUACCACAAUAAAGUGGAAUCUUGUGCAAGAUGCCAAGGAAAAGGAAGUAACUCAACUACUGAUCUAUUGUUAAAUGACUGUAAUUCCCCAAAUAUGUUUUCACAAGUUGACUAUUUGGAAGAGUUUGAACAAGCAACAUUAUUUAUGGAGCUUCAACACCAUUUGAAUCCAAUAUACAGUUACUCUAACACUGCUGCUUCUUGUUGUUCAUCAGUCAAAUAUCCCAAGAGCCAAUUUUCAGAUCAGGAGGUAUUGCAACCUGAUAGUGUAUUAUCGGUGGUGCCUGAUUUUGAUUUUGGCUCCUAUCUUGAAUGCUUUGAGUCUGAUGAUAGUUCUUUUAUUGGUUAUCAAGAGCUGUUGCGCUGGAAGCAAAGGUCUUGUUCUGUUAUUGAGCAUCAUGCAAAUGAUAUAUUUUCAAUAGGGUGCAUGUUAGCAGAAAUCUAUCUGCACAGACCACUUUUUGAUGCUUCCUUGCUAGCUGCAUAUAAAGAAACUGGUAUGCUGCCAGGAGCACUCCAUGAAUUGCCUGUUCAUGUCCGUUUGCUUGUUGAGUCAUGCAUCCAAAGGCAAUGGAAAAGGAGGCCGUGUUCAAAGCAUCUUCUGGAGUCACCAUAUUUUCCUCCAUCAGUUCGAUCCGCAUAUAUGUUUCUUGCUCCACUUCAACUUCUGUGUACAUCUGGAGACCACCUGAAGUAUGUUACUAAGCUUGCAAGUGCAGGGACACUUAAAGCCAUGGGAGAAUUUGCUGCUGAAGUGUGUGCACCUUACUGCCUACCUUUUGUUUCAUCAUCUGGGUUGGAUGUUGACACCGAGUCUUGCUUGCGUCUGCUUAAAGAGUUUUUGAAGUGCUUGAGUGUCCAAGCAGCUAAGAAACAUAUUCUGCCCAUCAUUCAGAAAAUCUUACAGGCACCAGAAUAUUCCCAUCUGAAGGUUUCUCUCCUUCAAGAUUCUUUUGUCCGAGAGUUAUGGAAAAAAUUGGGAAAACGAACCUAUAUUGAGAAGGUGCAUCCGUUGGUCAUAGCAAACUUACACAAUUCACCUAACAAGAUCACUGCAUCUUCUGCAUCCAUUGUUUUAAUUGGUUCAAGUGAGGAACUAGGAAUACCAAUCACUGUUCAUCAGACAGUUUUACCACUAAUCCACUCUUUCGGCAAAGGUUUAUGUGAUGAUGGAAUUGAAACUUUGGUCAGGAUAGGUGGACUUCUUGGGGAAAGUUUUAUUGUCAAGCAAAUUCUCCCCUUGCUGAGGAAUGUUAUACUUUUUUGUAUCGACUCCUCCAAGGUGACUAAGCCAGAACCACAGCAGAGUUGGAACUCUUUUGCUCUGAUUGAUGGCUUAUCUGCGUUGGAAGGCCUUGUAUCAGUUCUUCCUGUUAAGGCAGUUCUCAGGGAGCUUCUCCAGGACCAAGUCUGUCUUCAUAUAAAGAUUCUUAUGCUGAUCCAUUUGGACCUUGAUGUGAUUCAGGUGGCAGCUACUGCAUUUGUUGACCUUUGUCUACGAAUUGGACCAGAUAAUACCGUCAUACAUGUUUUGCCACAUCUAAAAGAGCUUUUUGCUGAAUUGGCCUUUUUUCAAGACUCUUCUGCUGUUAGCCUUCCUACAAAAGGGUUAAAAAUCUCAGAAAGAAACAAAAGUGAGACGAUUAAAAUGGAAUCUAGAGUUGAUCUCGUCUGUUGUAGGUUGUUGCUAUAUCCUUUCUUGGCAUCACUUGUUGGAAUAGAGAAGAUCCGUGAAUACUGCUCUACAUGGUUUCUAUUGGAGCAGUCUCUUCAAAGGUUGUACAAUUGGAAGUUUGAGCCUUCCAGUAAAUGUUCUAUAAGUGGUGAAAACAUGAAAACUCAAAGGUUUCAGCCUGGCAAUGACACCUCGUCUGAGGUUGUUCCAACAGACCUUUUUAAUGGGGCAGGGUCGUCUGUGUCUCAAUCUCAAAUCCCUAAAACUGGUUGGAUGGCAGCUUCCAAGCACAGAUUUAGGCUCGAGCAUGGGUCAUCUAGUGACAAUUUGUCUGCAUCAACUUCUGGAAAUCAGCCGUGGUUUUGGUUCCCUUCUCCUGACAGUAGUUGGGGCGUACCAGAUCUUCUUGGACGCAGUAGCGGUUUGAAGGAUGAACUUCCAUGGAAGAUCGAAGCUUCAGUCCUUUACUCAGCCCGUGCACACCCUGGGGCUCUGCGGUCAUUAGAAGUCCAUGAUGAUGAGUGCACGAUUUUUACUGGGGGAGUUGGACCUGGUUUUAAAGGAAGUAUACAGCGUUGGGAGUUGGCCAACAUGAAUUGCACAUCUGGAUAUUACGGGCAUGAAGAGGUUGUCAAUUCCAUCUGUAUCCUGUCAAUUACUGGAAAAGUAGCUUCUUGUGAUGGCACGAUUCAUAUUUGGAAUGGGCAGACAGGAAAGCUCAUAGCAGCUCAUACCGAGUCAUCAACAAGCUUUCCGCCGCAAACUGCAUCUGUUGAACAGGCAAACAUGCUUAAUCAGGACGCGCUCUCAGGUGGAAUAUUGUCGAAUGCAUUUCGUGGUAGCUUGUAUACGACCAUGCAUUACAUGGCAUCUGAAGAUAAACUUGUUGCUGGCAUGGGAAAUGGAUCUAUCAGAUUUAUUGAUAUCUCUCGGGAUCAGAAGCUGCAUUUAUGGAAGAGCGAUUCGGCUGAAAUCUCCUUCUCAUCACUCGUGUCAGCUAUUUGCUCGUCUGGCUCAGACAAGCCGAGGAAUGGAAGCCUAUUGGCUUCAUCAUCCUGGAUUGCAGCAGGUCUAAGCUCUGGUUAUUGUCGAUUACUUGACGAGCGUAGUGGAAAAAUCAUUGCAGUUUGGCGAGCACAUGAUGGUCACAUUACGAAGUUGGCAUCACCAGAGGACCACUUGAUUGCAUCUAGCUCCCUUGACAAGACUCUUCGAAUUUGGGAUCUAAGAAGGAACCUAUCAGUCCAGUCAAACAUUUUCAGAAGCCAUUCAGAUGGCAUCUUUGACUUCUCUGUUUGGGGUCAAGACCUGGUAUCAGUGUCAAGAAACAAAAUUGCACUUACUUCCCUAUCGAGACCAACAAGUGAGAUCGGACAUCAGCAGCUCGUACUUCAGAACUUAUAUUCGACUGACAGAGGAGUAAAAUAUAAAAACAUGUCUGUUCUUUCGGCUAUUUCUGUGCUUCCUUUGUCAAGAUUGUUUGUCGUUGGAACAGAAGAUGGUUUUCUCAAAAUCUGCCACUAG
RNAcentral lists this ribosomal RNA (4941 nucleotides) under Triticum aestivum (bread wheat). RNAcentral's name for it is "partial small subunit ribosomal RNA". The record is from RNAcentral. Lineage: Eukaryota; Viridiplantae; Streptophyta; Magnoliopsida; Poales; Poaceae.